Molecule: ribosomal RNA, 467 nt
Filed under: uncultured bacterium
Lineage: Bacteria
Description: partial 16S ribosomal RNA
Rfam family: Bacterial small subunit ribosomal RNA
Source: RNAcentral
ACGAACGCUGGCGGCGCGCCUAACACCUGCCAGUCGAACGGAGCUGAGAGAAGCUUGCUUUUCUUAGCUUAGUGGCGAACGGGUGAGUAACGCGUGAGUAACCUGCCCUGGAGUGGGGGACAACAGUUGGAAACGACUGCUAAUACCGCAUAAGCCCACGAUCCGGCAUCGGAUUGAGGGAAAAGGAUUUAUUCGCUUCAGGAUGGACUCGCGUCCAAUUAGCUAGUUGGUGAGGUAACGGCCCACCAAGGCGACGAUUGGUAGCCGGACUGAGAGGUUGAACGGCCACAUUGGGACUGAGACACGGCCCAGACUCCUACGGGAAGCAGCAGUGGGGGAUAUUGCACAAUGGGGGAAACCCUGAUGCAGCGACGCCGCGUGGAGGAAGAAGGUUUUCGGAUUGUAAACUCCUGUCGUUAGGGACGAUAAUGACGGUACCUAACAAGAAAGCACCGGCUAACUACGUG